ACACUCAGGGAGUACACCAUGUGAAGACUGGACUUAAACAGCUACACCACCAGAAGCCGAGAGAGAGGCUGGAACAUAGCCUUCCCUUUGGAGGUAGCCUGGCCCGGUGGGCACUGUGAUCUCAGACUUCCAGCCUUCAGAACUACAAGCAAAGUGGAUCAGCAAAGGCUGCAGUCACCAGCAUCUUUUCCAACCUUAAUGAACUGUAUCCUCAAAAGAACACUAUCAGACUGGUAAGACAAGCAUUAUUGUCCCACUUCACAGAUGAAGAGCUUGGGGGCCCUGUGGAUGUGUAGGAGAGUCGGCCUUCCUUUUUAUAGGCC
This 323-nucleotide long non-coding RNA is filed under the name Pan troglodytes (chimpanzee). RNAcentral describes it as "lincRNA". RNAcentral also lists the same sequence under 1 other name. Lineage: Eukaryota; Metazoa; Chordata; Mammalia; Primates; Hominidae. The record is from RNAcentral.